CCGUGCUAGGCGGGGGACUAGCGGUACCCUGUACCGGCAAUCCGCUAUAGCCGGGCUGAACUCCCUGCCCCAGGGCUCCGCCUGUGGGGUCUGACCCGCGUAAGUGGUGUUGAAGGUCUGGUCCCGCGCAAGUCGGCGCUGCUGAACCCCGUCAGGGCCGGAAGGCAGCAGCGGUAGGCAAUCCGCCGGCUGUGCCGCGGCCCACCGGGCCGGAGCCGGCUGCGCGGGUAACGCCCGUAGGCGCCAGUUCGAAGGCAGGGUGCACGG
Molecule: signal recognition particle RNA, 267 nt
Filed under: candidate division WS1 bacterium
Lineage: Bacteria; Bacillati
Description: signal recognition particle sRNA large type
Rfam family: Bacterial large signal recognition particle RNA
About the family: The signal recognition particle (SRP) is a universally conserved ribonucleoprotein involved in the co-translational targeting of proteins to membranes. Archaeal SRP consists of a 7S RNA and homologues of the eukaryotic SRP19 and SRP54 proteins. In most bacteria, the SRP consists of a 4.5S RNA and the Ffh protein (a homologue of the eukaryotic SRP54 protein).
Source: RNAcentral